This 476-nucleotide ribosomal RNA is filed under the name uncultured bacterium. RNAcentral's name for it is "SSU rRNA". It matches the Rfam family "Bacterial small subunit ribosomal RNA", at positions 26 to 521 of the family's 1533-position model. The record is from RNAcentral.
AGGAUGAACGCUGGCGGCGUGCCUAACACAUGCAAGUCGAACGUCCUGUCUCGCAAGAGGCAGGGAGUGGCGGACGGGUGAGUACCACGUGGGUCAUCUACCGUGAGGUGAGGAAUACCGGCGAGAAAUCGCCGACAAGACCGCAUAGGCUCGAUGCAAGUCGAGCAAAGCUCUUUCUAGAGAGGGAGCGCCACACGAGGAGCCUGCGCCCGAUUAGCUAGCUGGUGGAGUAACGGUUCACCAGGGCGACGAUCGGUAGCUGGUCUGAGAGGACGAUCAGCCACACUGGGAUUGAGAACGGCCCAGACUCCUACGGGGGGCAGCAGUGAGGAAUUUCGUCAAUGGGGGCAACCCUGAACGAGCAACGCCGCGUGCAGGAAGAAGGUUUCGGAUCGUAAACUGUCUUUCGUCGGGAAGAGAACGGACGGUACCCGAGGAAUCGACGCCCCGGACUAACUCGCGCCAGCAGCCGCGGU